This 301-nucleotide ribosomal RNA is filed under the name uncultured bacterium. Its description in RNAcentral is "partial 16S ribosomal RNA". It matches the Rfam family "Bacterial small subunit ribosomal RNA", at positions 509 to 809 of the family's 1533-position model. The record is from RNAcentral.
CAGCCGCCGCGGUAAUACGUAGGGUGCGAGCGUUAAUCGGAAUUACUGGGCGUAAAGCGUGCGCAGGCGGUUCGUUAAGACAGAUGUGAAAUCCCCGGGCUUAACCUGGGAACUGCAUUUGUGACUGGCGAGCUAGAGUAUGGCAGAGGGGGGUAGAAUUCCACGUGUAGCAGUGAAAUGCGUAGAGAUGUGGAGGAAUACCGAUGGCGAAGGCAGCCCCCUGGGCCAAUACUGACGCUCAUGCACGAAAGCGUGGGGAGCAAACAGGAUUAGAUACCCGAGUAGUCCCUGUCUCUUAUAA